GGGCAAUUAGCUCAGAUGGAUAGAGCGUUAGCCUCCGGAGCUAAAGGCCGAGCGUUCGAAUCGCUCAUUGCCCACCA
This 77-nucleotide transfer RNA is filed under the name Candidatus Latescibacter sp. RNAcentral's name for it is "tRNA-Arg". It matches the Rfam family "tRNA". Rfam says of the family: Transfer RNA (tRNA) molecules are approximately 80 nucleotides in length. Their secondary structure includes four short double-helical elements and three loops (D, anti-codon, and T loops). The record is from RNAcentral. Lineage: Bacteria; Pseudomonadati; Candidatus Latescibacterota; Candidatus Latescibacteria (ex Chuvochina et al. 2023); Candidatus Latescibacterales; Candidatus Latescibacteraceae.